AGAGGGGUGUGUCCUUGCUGGGACCUAGACUAAGCCAUCACAUUCUGCCCUGUGGCUGGACCCAGGUACUCUGAGUCCAACCCAGCUGCCCUGCUCUGGUUGUAGGAGAGUGCUGAGGUGAAGCCCGAGGUUCAGGACAGGGUUUACACCCUGGCCUCUGGGGACAUCGCUGGAAGUGACACUGCUAGAGGAGGACUCCAAGGAACAAAAGAAUUUGGGGGAUCCCGGGACCCAGAAAGAUGACUGACAUUACCACAGCUACAAGGAAAUGGGAGUGUUCAAAGGAGUGACAGGAUACAACCAAGAUAAGAAGCAGGUCCGCAUCCUGCCUCUAACAAGUCAGCCCAGUGAGAUGCCUUAAGCCUGGAAGAAAAUUACUUUAUCUUGGAAGCUGGCUGACCUUCAAAACCCAAGGUUUAAGAAAGGUUUCAAAUAGAAAUUAUUACAAUUCAACAAUCAGUUCUCCUACUACAUGAAAAACCAUCACAAAAUAGUACAAAACCAUCACAAAAUAAUGCCAUCCACUGGAGCAGAUAGCAAAACAAUUGAAGAAGUUCUACCAAUUAGAAUAUCCAAAAAAAAAAAAAUCUUUCAGAGCUCUCUCUACAAGUGUGAAAUAUCUUAACUGAACUGAGAGGUCAAGAGGUAAUUUCCAGAAGUUCUACACUGAAGUCCUUCCUGAAAUUACCUUUGCCCAGAAGCAGUCUGGAAAUC
Non-coding RNA from Monodelphis domestica (gray short-tailed opossum), 714 nucleotides. The record is from RefSeq and is a predicted model, not a curated record. Lineage: Eukaryota; Metazoa; Chordata; Mammalia; Didelphimorphia; Didelphidae.